UACGUAGGGUGCAAGCGUUGUCCGGAAUUAUUGGGUGCGUAAAGAGCUCGUAGGCGGUCUGUCGCGUCGGCUGUGAAACCCGGGCUCACCCGGCCUGCAGUCGAUACGGGCAGACUAGAGUGCGGUAGGGAGACUGGAAUUCCUGGUGUAGCGGUGAAAUGCGCAGAUAUCAGGAGGAACGACCUGAGGUGAAGACGGGUUGCUGGGCUGACACUGAUGCUGAGGCGCGAAAGCCAGG
RNAcentral lists this ribosomal RNA (238 nucleotides) under uncultured bacterium. RNAcentral describes it as "partial 16S ribosomal RNA". It matches the Rfam family "Bacterial small subunit ribosomal RNA", at positions 524 to 764 of the family's 1533-position model. The record is from RNAcentral.